UGAGGAAUAUUGGUCAAUGGGCGCGAGCCUGAACCAGCCAAGUAGCGUGAAGGAUGAAGGUCCUAUGGAUUGUAAACUUCUUUUAUACGGGAAUAAAGUGGUCCACGUGUGGGCUUUUGCAUGUACCGUAUGAAUAAGGAUCGGCUAACUCCGUGCCAGCAGCCGCGGUAAUACGGAGGAUCCGAGCGUUAUCCGGAUUUAUUGGGUUUAAAGGGAGCGUAGAUGGGUUGUUAAGUCAGUUGUGAAAGUUUGCGGCUCAACCGUAAAAUUGCAAUUGAUACUGGCAGUCUUGAGUACAGUUGAGGUAGGCGGAAUUCGUGGUGUAGCGGUGAAAUGCUUAGAUAUCACGAAGAACUCCGAUUGCGAAGGCAGCUUACUAACCUGUAACUGACAUUGAUGCUCGAAAGUGUGGGUAUCAAACAGGAUUAGAUACCCUGGUAGUCCACACGGUAAACGAUGAAUACUCGCUGUAGGCGAUAUACAGUCUGCGGCCAAGCGAAAGCAUUAAGUAUUCCACCUGGGGAGUACGCCGGCAACGGUGAAACUCAAAGGAAUUGACGGGGGCCCGCACAAGCGGAGGAACAUGUGGUUUAAUUCGAUGAUACGCGAGGAACCUUACCCGGGCUUAAAUUGCAACCGAAUAUGGCGGAAACGCUAUAGCUAGCAAUAGCGGUUGUGAAGGUGCUGCAUGGUUGUCGUCAGCUCGUGCCGUGAGGUGUCGGCUUAAGUGCCAUAACGAGCGCAACCCUUGCCGAUAGUUACUAACAGGUUAUGCUGAGGACUCUGUCGGGACUGCCAUCGUAAGAUGUGAGGAAGGUGGGGAUGACGUCAAAUCAGCACGGCCCUUACGUCCGGGGCUACACACGUGUUACAAUGGGGGGUACAGAGGGCUGCUACCACGCAAGUGGAUGCCAAUCCCAAAAACCUCUCUCAGUUCGGAUUGAAGUCUGCAACCCGACUUCAUGAAGCUGGAUUCGCUAGUAAUCGCGCAUCAGCCACGGCGCGGUGAAUACGUUCCC
RNAcentral lists this ribosomal RNA (1019 nucleotides) under uncultured bacterium. RNAcentral's name for it is "bacterial SSU rRNA". It matches the Rfam family "Bacterial small subunit ribosomal RNA", at positions 355 to 1375 of the family's 1533-position model. The record is from RNAcentral.